GGAACAUGUUAAAAAUUAUGAGUCCAAAGCAGUUCAACUUUAUAAUGAUUUGGAUGAAAUAUGCUGAAAUAUAAUGGAGGUCGAAGAUAAGAGGUCAACCAUGAAGAAGAACAAAACCCCAACCCUUUCCAGAGAGUAAUGAUAAGGGAUAUGGUAAAGGGAAUUAUUUUGGGAAAGUAUAAGACCGUUUUCAUUGUCUAUACAAUAAUUGUCAUGUCGCAUAAUACAGGUAAGGGCAGUAAUACACAAAAUGGUUGUACAAAAUCCUGGCAAUGAAUUAGUCAUUUUUGGAAAUCUAAGAGUUGGUUCAACAUCACUGCAUAUUUAAAGCCUCAUUAUUGUACUUAAAAACAAUACAAUUUAACUUUUCAGCCUCAAACAUCAACCGACUAUACAGUUACGUAAACUUAAAUUGAGCGAAGGAAAUAAAAAAUUAUAUGUACUGGCAGGGAAAACUUAAUUUACAAAGGGAUGACAUGGUAAAUUGAAGUUCACUCAUACUUUUGUGACAGAUUGAGCUGCUAAAAGAAUAAAUACAUAACUGAUCAUUUCUACAUAAAAGACCAGUUAGAUAUUGCCUUAAAAUACGCAUACAACUAAUGAAGGGCCUGUUCAUAAUUUAGGGUAAUUUGGUAAACAAACCCAAAGAAACUGCUGCUGCUGCUUCAGUGACGGGAGUUAUAUUGAAUGUGUUUCAGAAACUCUGGUCCUUUAAGCCAUUGGUUCUCUUAGACUGGCAGUCUGUGUUUUGAUUACACUGUCCAAACUUUCUUGACCUUUGUAUGUCAUCAAGUCAGCCUGACUUUAUGAAAAAAAAAACUCACACACACACACACUCACAAAAGAUGUUCAAAGUCUCAUGAUUUACCCUCUGGCUCUGGGUGGAAUUCCCCGUCAUAAGUCCAGCAGUGCUACGAUGAUGUGUGGGUCGUAUCAACAGUAUAUUGUUGGCAAAUUAUAUUUCUUAAGCGCUGUUGAACUCCCUCUCAAAAUACAGUUUUGCUUUCUGUCUCUAUACUUAAUAAUUUAGAUGUGAACAGUUUACCGAGCUUUCAGAAAUGAGUUUACACUUUUGAUGGAAUUUUACCAAAGUGAAAUUAAUUUAACCUGUGUUUGUGUGUGUGUGUGUGUGUGUGUGUGUGUGUGUGUGUGUGUGUGUGUGUGUGUGUGUGUGUGUGUGUGUGUGUGUGUGUGUGUGUGUGUGUGUGUGUGUGUGUGUGUGUGUGUGUGUGGAGGUGGGGGGGGGGGGGAGACCUCCCAAAACCAACUCAGCCGCCAUCUUUUUGAGUCACCCCCAUCCAUUGAGAGACCCCUGUUUCAUUUGUGUCCGUGUUGGUGGCUGUCUGUUAGCAUGCAGCCGUCGCACUGAGCUGGUAAUGCCAUGGUUUGUAAUGGUUUGUUAGGUGUGGCUGAGGAUCGCACCCGGGGGAGAAGGGACCAUGGGAACGGGGAGAGAUCCGUGGUUGGUCCCAAGCUGACCAGAACAAAGGCCGUGGUCAUGGGUUCAUGUGGAAAAAGUAGAAGAAAAAAAUAAAUAGUAGAAGCAAUGUAACUGCAUCAAUUUAUUUGAGGCAAUUAUAUAUUCAACUCCUAAAAUUAUGGGAUGUAAAAUGAGGCCUGACCUUCUGUCUUGUUUAUCUUUGGCGUUAGAGGGAAAACCAACUAGCUCACCUGCAUGGGGGGAAAACCCUAAGCCUUCCCACCAAGAGGCAAGAGAGCUAACCACUCUACCGCUGCUCAACCAAAUGAUAACCUGCACAUCACAUCAACGUACAACUUUGUGCUCUUUUUUAAACAGCUUCUUUCAGAGGAAAUCAUUAGUUUACUAGGGAUAGGAAGUUACAUUUUCGUUUUAAAGCGGUCACAGCGGUGGAGGAAUAGAGGGACUGCUCGUUGGGUGGUUUGGUCAGUAAUUGUUGCUUUGCAUCUUGGCUUCAGCAGACUGUUUAGUCAGACUUUGAAGCUAAUCCGACUUAAAGAGUUAAUCAUUUACAUGCCGAGACUUUUUCUAUAUGUGGGAGGCUAGAUCAUUGUGUGAGUGCGUGUGUGUGUGUGUGUGUGUGUGUGUGUGUGUGUGUGUGUGUGUGUGUGUGUGUGUGUGUGUGUGUGUGUGUGUGUGUGUGUGUGUGUGUGUGUGUAUGUGUAUGUGUAUGUGUAAUAUAUAUACACAGCCUAGCAGCUGCAUUCCAACCUGAUAGUUUAUUCAGUUUAAUUGAGUUUAGCCACAGCUCUGACGGUGCUCACGUCAACGGAAAUGGUCAGCUGACCAAUUCCUCGUCUUCGCCCACCCCCCCAUAAUGAUCAGAAUGUAAUAUUUACUGCCCCCGCAUCCGCCUAUGGGUGGAAAUGACCUCCUGCUGAGCAAUGACGAAUCCUACACCCAGUUCCGGUGUUGAGCUGGGGGGGGGGGGUGGGGGGGGGGGGGGCUGCUUCCUCAUUUCUUCCCUGCUGACUCACCGCUGAGGCCCGGCCUCCUAGCCUCGGCCUCCGUCCCGUCCCUCACCGGUGUCCGGUGGUUGGGCCGAGUUCCGGGUUCCUGGCGAUUGAUUAGAUAAUGGUGCUUUGGCGAGGAGGCCAGGAUGCCUGUGGUGAACCCAACACAGCCAGAAUUAACCGGUACAGAGACGGAGAGAGGACCAGGAGGAGGAAGAGGAGGAGGAAGGGAAGUGAAUGUAAUCUCCUUAUGAGGCGCUGGUGAAAAUUGGUUAAAGAUGGUAAACAUUCCUGCAAAACCCGUUUGGAAAAUGUGUCUCAGUUGGGGCCAUAUUCGCUGUGUCUUGUGUAUUUCAUUCUGAUGCUAUUUUUAUGGGCCCUUUUGGCUGUGUAUUACUUGAACUUCAUGUGGCCUGUUUUGUUUCGUUUUUUUUCCCCUCGCCUGGUAUCGCCUACGCAUGGGUCUCUAUAGCUCUCUAGCAAAUUGAGUUGAGCUAGUGGUAUUGAUGCUUCGUGGUGGCAUGCGCCCACACAGGUACCGAUGUUUUUGAACCCAGUGGCGCGACAGCCAAGGCACGGUGCAUCCGGUGGAAGGCAAGGAAGAGGAGAGCACGCAGCGGUUGGCCUUGCCAUUAGCAGCAGUAUGCUAUUCUACAGAAGAGGUUUACCACAGGCUCGUCACCAGAGUCUGCCUUUUAAAUGUCUAUCUCACUCCCAGGACGAGAGAAGGGGGAUUCGAGUCGCUUUCAAUGCAUUCUGAUCUGAGUGAGGACGCAGUUCCCCUCUACGCCCAGUCGGGGGCAGUGUUUAUCAGAGACCUGCUGCCCUAACCCGCCAGCCUUUUUAGGAUGCAGGAUUCAUGCCUGGCAGUCUGUGUGCUUGCCUGUGACCACCUACUUGUCCGGCCUCUCUUCCUCACUGCCUGUUCUCUACCUGUCCGCUCGCAUAGUUAUGCACAACUCCCCAUCUGUGUCUGUCUGCCUGUCUCUCUGAGUGUCCCCAUUCCUGGUCACCGACUGUCUGAACACCUGUCUCCUCCUCUGUUCCUGUCUGGCUGCCCAGGUGUCUGGCUUUGCCCUUCUUUUUCAUCCUUCGUUGUCCUUGUCAUGUUGUUUGAAACGUCUGGCUGCAGCGUACUGCUGUGCUGGUUCCCUAUCAGUGUCUGACUGUCUGUCUAGCUCUCUGUCUGACUGUCUGGCUCUUUUCGUCUCUAUCUUCUGCCUAGUUGAAUGUCUAGCUCUCUGUCUGUCCGUCUAGCUCUCUGUCUGUCUGUCUGUCUGUCCGUCCGUCCGACCGGCUGGCAGUGUACCCAUCACCCACCUGGUUGUGCUGUGUGCGCGUCUGGCACCCAGCUGGGUGGGGGCUAGAUAACAAGCCCCCCUGCUGCUCAACCGCUAUCACAGCACCGAGGGAGAGAGAGAGAUAGAGGAGACACCGUCGCUAGGGGAGAGCGGGAGAAGGCCGUCACUAUUACACGAAGAGGGGCCGAUUAGGAGGAAGAGGAGGGUUGAAGAGGAAAAUAAGCGAUGGACAAGUAGACCUUGAGAGAGAUAGAGAGGGAGGGAGAAUGGAUGAUGGAUGAAGAGGAACGGGUUGAAGGAAUCGUCAUUACUAGUCUUUGUAAUGAGAACUACAUAUGAGACAAAAAUGUUUUCCAUUGUGGUUGUUUUAACCUAAUGCACCAAUCAAUUAUGUUUGCCUGCCUCUAUGUGAUCAAUGCUUGCGACUUCUACAUUUGGGAUGAGGAUGUGAUGAGGAGACAGACCAAUGAGGCUGUUAAAAUGGUCCUUAUUUUUGUGCUAUUGAAUUAACACACACAUAAAAACACACACACACACACACACGCACACACACACACACACAUACACACACACAC
Molecule: long non-coding RNA, 4309 nt
Organism: Gadus macrocephalus (Pacific cod)
Lineage: Eukaryota; Metazoa; Chordata; Actinopteri; Gadiformes; Gadidae
Exons: 2
Source: RefSeq, a predicted model, not a curated record